GACGAACGCUGGCGGCGUGCUUAACACAUGCAAGUCGAACGGAAAGGCCCUGCUUUUGUGGGGUGCUCGAGUGGCGAACGGGUGAGUAACACGUGAGUAACCUGCCCUUGACUUUGGGAUAACUUCAGGAAACUGGGGCUAAUACCGGAUAGGAGCUCCUGCUGCAUGGUGGGGGUUGGAAAGUUUCGGCGGUUGGGGAUGGACUCGCGGCUUAUCAGCUUGUUGGUGGGGUAGUGGCUUACCAAGGCUUUGACGGGUAGCCGGCCUGAGAGGGUGACCGGCCACAUUGGGACUGAGAUACGGACCAGAAUCCUACGGGAGGCAGCAGGGGGGAAUAUUGCACAAUGGGCGGAAGCCUGAUGCAGAAACGCCGCGUGCGGGAUGACGGCCUUCGGGUUGUAAACCGCUUUCGCCUGUGACGAAGCGUGAGUGACGGUAAUGGGUAAAGAAGCACCGGCUAACUACGUG
Molecule: ribosomal RNA, 468 nt
Filed under: uncultured bacterium
Lineage: Bacteria
Description: partial 16S ribosomal RNA
Rfam family: Bacterial small subunit ribosomal RNA
Source: RNAcentral